This 212-nucleotide ribosomal RNA is filed under the name uncultured bacterium. RNAcentral's name for it is "partial 16S ribosomal RNA". It matches the Rfam family "Bacterial small subunit ribosomal RNA", at positions 524 to 735 of the family's 1533-position model. The record is from RNAcentral.
UACGUAGGGUGCGAGCGUUGUCCGGAAUUACUGGGCGUAAAGGGCCAGUAGGCGGCCAACUAAGUCGGAUGUGAAAUCCCCAGGCUCAACUUGGGAACUGCAUCCGAUACUGGAUGGCUUGAAUUCGGGAGAGGGAUGCAGAAUUCCAGGUGUAGCGGUGAAAUGCGUAGAUAUCUGGAGGAAUACCGGUGGCGAAGGCGGCAUCCUGGACC